This 377-nucleotide ribosomal RNA is filed under the name uncultured bacterium. RNAcentral describes it as "bacterial SSU rRNA". It matches the Rfam family "Bacterial small subunit ribosomal RNA", at positions 28 to 412 of the family's 1533-position model. The record is from RNAcentral.
GAUGAAUGCUGGCGGCGUGCCUAACACAUGCAAGUCGAACGGUGGCUUCGGCCAUAGUGGCGAACGGGUGAGUAACACGUAGUCUACCUACCCUGUAGAGCGGGACAACUGAUCGAAAGAUCAGCUAAUACCGCAUGUUCUCGUGGUGAAUAGUAAGCGACGAGCAAAGGGUCUUCGGGCCGCUAUGGGAUGGGACUGCGGUCCAUCAGCUAGUUGGUGAGGUAAAGGCUCACCAAGGCGACGACGGAUAGGGGGCCUGAGAGGGUGACCCUCCACACUGGAACUGAGACACGGUCCAGACUCCUACGGGAGGCAGCAGUGAGGAAUAUUGCGCAAUGGGGGAAACCCUGACGCAGCAACGCCGCGUGGGUGAAGAA